RNAcentral lists this transfer RNA (77 nucleotides) under Pseudomonadota bacterium. Its description in RNAcentral is "tRNA-Lys". It matches the Rfam family "tRNA". Rfam says of the family: Transfer RNA (tRNA) molecules are approximately 80 nucleotides in length. Their secondary structure includes four short double-helical elements and three loops (D, anti-codon, and T loops). Further hydrogen bonds mediate the characteristic L-shaped molecular structure. tRNAs have two regions of fundamental functional importance: the anti-codon, which is responsible for specific mRNA codon recognition, and the 3' end, to which the tRNAs corresponding amino acid is attached (by aminoacyl-tRNA synthetases). tRNAs cope with the degeneracy of the genetic code in two manners: having more than one tRNA (with a specific anti-codon) for a particular amino acid; and 'wobble' base-pairing, i.e. permitting non-standard base-pairing at the 3rd anti-codon position. Lineage: Bacteria; Pseudomonadati; Pseudomonadota. RNAcentral also lists the same sequence under 1 other name. The record is from RNAcentral.
GGGCCGUUAGCUCAAUCAGGCAGAGCACCUGACUCUUAAUCAGUAGGUUCUGGGUUCGAUUCCCGGACGGCCCACCA